UCCUUCGGUUCGUACGUGUGAUGAUUGGGGGGUCCUGCUCUUGUCUGAGAUGUGCCUCCCUCUAAACCUUGUUAUGACAUCAGCACAUUACCCAUCUGAC
Molecule: small nucleolar RNA, 100 nt
Filed under: Marmota monax (woodchuck)
Lineage: Eukaryota; Metazoa; Chordata; Mammalia; Rodentia; Sciuridae
Rfam family: Small nucleolar RNA U13
Source: RNAcentral